GCCCUUAUAGUUUAAUGGAUAGAACACAAGCUUGCGGAGCUUGCGAUCCAAGUUCGAUUCUUGGUAAGGGCA
This 72-nucleotide transfer RNA is filed under the name Candidatus Moraniibacteriota bacterium. Its description in RNAcentral is "tRNA-Arg". It matches the Rfam family "tRNA". Rfam says of the family: Transfer RNA (tRNA) molecules are approximately 80 nucleotides in length. Their secondary structure includes four short double-helical elements and three loops (D, anti-codon, and T loops). Further hydrogen bonds mediate the characteristic L-shaped molecular structure. tRNAs have two regions of fundamental functional importance: the anti-codon, which is responsible for specific mRNA codon recognition, and the 3' end, to which the tRNAs corresponding amino acid is attached (by aminoacyl-tRNA synthetases). tRNAs cope with the degeneracy of the genetic code in two manners: having more than one tRNA (with a specific anti-codon) for a particular amino acid; and 'wobble' base-pairing, i.e. permitting non-standard base-pairing at the 3rd anti-codon position. The record is from RNAcentral. Lineage: Bacteria; Candidatus Moraniibacteriota.